AUUGAACGCUGGCGGCAGGCCUAACACAUGCAAGUCGAACGAGUGGCGGACGGGUGAGUAAUGUCUGGGAAACUGCCCGAUGGAGGGGGAUAACUACUGGAAACGGUAGCUAAUACCGCAUACCAUCGGAUGUGCCCAGAUGGGAUUAGCUAGUAGGGGGGGUAACGGCUCACCUAGGCGACGAUCCCUAGCUGGUCUGAGAGGAUGACCGUCCACACGGGAACUGAGACACGGUCCAGACUCCUACGGAGGGCAGCAGUGGGGAAUAUUGCACAAUGGGCGAAAGCCUGAUGCAGCCAUGCCGCGUGUAUUAAGAGGGCCUUCGGGUUGUAAAGUACUUUCAGCGGGGAGGCGUUACUCGCAUAGGAAGCACCGGCUAACUCCGUGCCAGCAGCCGCGGUAAUAC
Molecule: ribosomal RNA, 406 nt
Filed under: uncultured bacterium
Lineage: Bacteria
Description: partial 16S ribosomal RNA
Rfam family: Bacterial small subunit ribosomal RNA
Source: RNAcentral